CGUAGCUCAGUUGGAUAGAGCAACGGCCUUCUAAGCCGUGGGUCGGGGGUUCGAAUCCCUUC
This 62-nucleotide transfer RNA is filed under the name pig gut metagenome. It matches the Rfam family "tRNA", at positions 7 to 64 of the family's 71-position model. Rfam says of the family: Transfer RNA (tRNA) molecules are approximately 80 nucleotides in length. Their secondary structure includes four short double-helical elements and three loops (D, anti-codon, and T loops). Further hydrogen bonds mediate the characteristic L-shaped molecular structure. tRNAs have two regions of fundamental functional importance: the anti-codon, which is responsible for specific mRNA codon recognition, and the 3' end, to which the tRNAs corresponding amino acid is attached (by aminoacyl-tRNA synthetases). tRNAs cope with the degeneracy of the genetic code in two manners: having more than one tRNA (with a specific anti-codon) for a particular amino acid; and 'wobble' base-pairing, i.e. permitting non-standard base-pairing at the 3rd anti-codon position. RNAcentral also lists the same sequence under 1 other name. The record is from RNAcentral.